UGAACAGCAUAUAACGAAUAGAAGUGGUC
RNAcentral lists this small RNA (29 nucleotides) under Bombyx mori (domestic silkworm). Its description in RNAcentral is "ovarian small RNA-7907". Lineage: Eukaryota; Metazoa; Arthropoda; Insecta; Lepidoptera; Bombycidae. The record is from RNAcentral.